GACGAACGCUGGCGGCGUGCUUAACACAUGCAAGUCGAACGGUAAGGCCCCAGCUUGCUGGGGUACACGAGUGGCGAACGGGUGAGUAACACGUGGGUGACCUGCCCCGCACUUCGGGAUAAGCCUGGGAAACUGGGUCUAAUACCGGAUAGGACCGCACUGUGAGGGUGUGGUGGAAAGUUUGUCGGUGUGGGAUGGGCCCGCGGCCUAUCAGCUUGUUGGUGGGGUAAUGGCCUAGCAAGGCGGCGACGGGUAGCCGGCCUGAGAGGGUGGACGGCCACAUUGGGACUGAGGCACGGCCCGGACGCCUACGGGAGGCAGCGGUGGGGAAUAUUGCGCGAUGGGCGGAAGCCUUAUGCAGCGACGCCGGGUGGGGGAUGACGGCCUUCGGGGUGUAAAGUCCGUUCACCUUCGACGAAGGUUUUCUGACGGUAGAUGGAGAAAAAGCACCGGCUAACUACGUG
Molecule: ribosomal RNA, 464 nt
Filed under: uncultured bacterium
Lineage: Bacteria
Description: partial 16S ribosomal RNA
Rfam family: Bacterial small subunit ribosomal RNA
Source: RNAcentral